RNAcentral lists this transfer RNA (72 nucleotides) under Chromochloris zofingiensis. Its description in RNAcentral is "tRNA-Cys". It matches the Rfam family "tRNA". Rfam says of the family: Transfer RNA (tRNA) molecules are approximately 80 nucleotides in length. Lineage: Eukaryota; Viridiplantae; Chlorophyta; Chlorophyceae; Sphaeropleales; Chromochloridaceae. The record is from RNAcentral.
GGUUGGGUCGUCUAAUUGGAUAAGACAUGGGAUUGCAAAUCCUAGAAUAGCAGUUCAAGUCUGCUCUCAACC